Molecule: ribosomal RNA, 246 nt
Filed under: uncultured Polynucleobacter sp.
Lineage: Bacteria; Pseudomonadati; Pseudomonadota; Betaproteobacteria; Burkholderiales; Burkholderiaceae
Description: partial 16S ribosomal RNA
Rfam family: Bacterial small subunit ribosomal RNA
Source: RNAcentral
AGCUGAGUUUGAUCCUGGCUCAGAUUGAACGCUGGCGGCAUGCCUUACACAUGCAAGUCGAACGGCGGCACGGGUGCUUGCACCUGGUGCGAGUGGCGGAACGGGUGAGUAACUACAUCGGAACGUACCUUAUCGUGGGGGAUAACGCAGCGAAAGUUGCGCUAAUACCGCAUACGCCCUGAGGGGGAAAGCGGGGGACCGUAAGGCCUCGCGCGAUUAGAGCGGCCGAUGUCUGAUUAGCUUGUU